GUACACUCCUGCGGGAGGCAGCAGUGGGGAAUUUUGGACAAUGGGCGAAAGCCUGAUCCAGCCAUGCCGCGUGCAGGAUGAAGGCCUUCGGGUUGUAAACUGCUUUUGUACGGAACGAAACGGCCUUUUCUAAUAAAGAGGGCUAAUGACGGUACCGUAAGAAUAAGCACCGGCUAACUACGUGCCAGCAGCCGCGGUAAUACGUAGGGUGCAAGCGUUAAUCGGAAUUACUGGGCGUAAAGCGUGCGCAGGCGGUUAUGUAAGACAGUUGUGAAAUCCCCGGGCUCAACCUGGGAACUGCAUCUGUGACUGCAUAGCUAGAGUACGGUAGAGGGGGAUGGAAUUCCGCGUGUAGCAGUGAAAUGCGUAGAUAUGCGGAGGAACACCGAUGGCGAAGGCAAUCCCCUGGACCUGUACUGACGCUCAUGCACGAAAGCGUGGGGAGCAAACAGGAUUAGAUACCCCAGUAGUCC
RNAcentral lists this ribosomal RNA (473 nucleotides) under uncultured organism. RNAcentral's name for it is "partial 16S ribosomal RNA". It matches the Rfam family "Bacterial small subunit ribosomal RNA", at positions 331 to 796 of the family's 1533-position model. The record is from RNAcentral.